This 107-nucleotide ribosomal RNA is filed under the name Acinetobacter baumannii. Its description in RNAcentral is "partial 23S ribosomal RNA". The stretch from base 1 to 95 matches the Rfam family "Bacterial large subunit ribosomal RNA", at positions 2831 to 2925 of the family's 2925-position model. The record is from RNAcentral. Lineage: Bacteria; Pseudomonadati; Pseudomonadota; Gammaproteobacteria; Moraxellales; Moraxellaceae.
AGGAACGUUGAAGACUACGACGUUGAUAGGCCUGGUGUGUAAGCUCAGCGAUGCGAUGAGCUAACCGGUACUAAUGAACCGUGAGGCUUAACCUUACAACGCCGAAG